Molecule: ribosomal RNA, 464 nt
Filed under: Streptococcus anginosus
Lineage: Bacteria; Bacillati; Bacillota; Bacilli; Lactobacillales; Streptococcaceae
Description: bacterial SSU rRNA
Rfam family: Bacterial small subunit ribosomal RNA
Source: RNAcentral
GACAAACGCUGGCGGCGUGCCUAAUACAUGCAAGUAGGACGCACAGUCUAUACCGUAGCUUGCUACACCAUAGGCUGUGAGUUGCGAACGGGUGAGUAACGCGUAGGUAACCUGCCUAUUAGAGGGGGAUAACUAUUGGAAACGAUAGCUAAUACCGCAUAACAGUAUGUAACACAUGUUAGAUGCUUGAAAGAUGCAAUUGCAUCGCUAGUAGAUGGACCUGCGUUGUAUUAGCUAGUAGGUAGGGUAAUGGCCUACCUAGGCAACGAUACAUAGCCGACCUGAGAGGGUGAUCGGCCACACUGGGACUGAGACACGGCCCAGACUCCUACGGGAGGCAGCAGUAGGGAAUCUUCGGCAAUGGGGGGAACCCUGACCGAGCAACGCCGCGUGAGUGAAGAAGGUUUUCGAAUCGUAAAGCUCUGUUGUUAAGGAAGAACGAGUGUGAGAAUGGAAAGUUCAUA